This 460-nucleotide ribosomal RNA is filed under the name uncultured bacterium. RNAcentral's name for it is "partial 16S ribosomal RNA". It matches the Rfam family "Bacterial small subunit ribosomal RNA", at positions 338 to 795 of the family's 1533-position model. The record is from RNAcentral.
CCUACGGGAGGCAGCAGUGAGGAAUAUUGGUCAAUGGACGAGAGUCUGAACCAGCCAAGUCGCGUGAAGGAUGACGGCCCUAUGGGUUGUAAACUUCUUUUGUAUGGGAGUAAAAGCAGGUACGCGUAUCUGCUUGAAAGUACCGUACGAAUAAGGAUCGGCUAACUCCGUGCCAGCAGCCGCGGUAAUACGGAGGAUUCGAGCGUUAUCCGGAUUUAUUGGGUUUAAAGGGUGCGUAGGCGGAAGGAUAAGUUAGUGGUGAAAUUCGGAGGCUCAACGUCCAAAUUGCCGUUGAAACUGGUAGUCUUGAGUGGAGGAGAGGUAGGCGGAAUGUGUGGUGUAGCGGUGAAAUGCGUAGAUAUCACACAGAACUCCGAUUGCGAAGGCAGCUUACCGGCCUACAACUGACGCUGAUGCACGAAAGCGUGGGGAGCAAACAGGAUUAGAUACCCUUGUAGUC